This 4445-nucleotide long non-coding RNA is filed under the name Brassica napus (rape). RNAcentral's name for it is "long non-coding RNA (BNAP_LNC007221)". Lineage: Eukaryota; Viridiplantae; Streptophyta; Magnoliopsida; Brassicales; Brassicaceae. The record is from RNAcentral.
ACAGAAGCAGAGUGACUGUAACCAACGGUUUAAGAAAAAAAUUAAAAGAAGUGAUGAUGGAGUUUCAAGGACUAAGGCAGAGGAUGAUGAGUGAGUAUAAAGAGACCGUUGAGAGACGGUACUUCACUGUCACCGGAGAGAGACCUGACGAGGAGAUGAUUGAGAAGAUCGUUACUGAUGGAGGGGAAGAGUUUCUAACUCGAGCCAUUCAGGAGCAUGGGAGAGGGAAGGUGUUGGAGACGGUUGUUGAGAUUCAGGACAGGUACGACGCGGCGAAAGAGAUUGAGAAGAGUUUGUUGGAGCUUCACCAGGUGUUUUUGGAUAUGGCUGUGAUGGUUGAGGCGCAGGAGGAGCAGAUGGAUGAGAUUGAGCAUCAUGUGAUGAGCGCGGGGCAUUAUGUUAAGGAUGGGGCUAAGGAGCUUAAGACGGCGAAGAAUCAUCAGAGGAGCAGUAGGAAAUGGAUGUGUGUUGGUAUUAUUGUGUUGCUUUUGAUCAUUCUUGUUGUUGUCAUCCCUAUCCUUACUAGUUUCACCUCUUCUUGAGAGAGACAUUGACUUAGUUGUUUGUUUUGUGCCUAAAAAGGAUGUCUUAAUCCUUGCUUUGUUGUGUUUGUGAUUCAAACUAUUAUGCAAUGAUGAAUGUUAACUUAUAUCAAUGUUCUAAAAAUCGUUAGGCGGUUUACAGAGAUUUAUUGUUUAGACGGACAGCUAGGACCAGUUUUAUUAUUUGAAAAACUCUUUUCGUCUACACCCGAUUUUCCAACUAGGUGGGUGACUAAGGCCGUCUAUACUGAUUUUUAGAACACUGCCUUAUAUGAUUGUGAAAAUGAAUUAUGCACAAAACAUUCCUCAGCAAAUGGUAAAAGUUACUGUGCAACCAAGUAUUGCUAAAAGUUUCCAAUGAUGAAUGUUUUUACCUUAUAUGACUGUGAAAAUGACAUAUAAUCUGGUUCUAUGCACAAAACAUUACUCAGUAUUGGUAUCAUUGUGUUGCUCUUGAGCAUUCUUAUUGUUGUCAUUCCCACUAUUACCAGUUUCACAUCUUCUUGAGACAUGACUUAGUGUUUGUUUUGUGGCUAAAAAGGAUGUCUUAAUCCUUGCUUUGUGUAUCCAAACUAUUAUGCAAUGAUGAAUGUUUUUUACUUUAUAUGAUUGUGAAAAUGAAUUAUAAUCUGGUUCUAUGCACAAAACAUUAGUAAAUUGGUAAAAGUUAUUGUGAAACCAAGUAUUGCUGCAAGUGGUUGUUUCUCUUCUUGUUCUUGAGUUUCCUGAAGGCAGAGGACUCGAUCUGCCUCACUCUCUCACGGCUCACACCCAUCGUUUCACCAAUCUCUUGCAACGUCUUCAUCCUCCCAUCUUCCAUCCCAAAUCUCCAACGUAUCACCUGCUUCUCCCUCGUGCUCAACGAGUCCAACACCUUGUCCAAGUCCUCCCUCAUGAACUGCUUUAUCAGAAUGUCCUCUGAUGUUUCUGCUUCAGGGUCUGAUAUCACUUCCUGCAUUCACAUUUACUGUCUUAAGCAAAACAAGAAGAAGACUAUAUAUACUAUGUAUGGUGUGUGUUAUGUUCAGGAGGGGGGACAAACCGAAGGUUUGAGGUUUAGAUUGAUUCCGAUCUUCUGGUCUAACGACCUUGGAGGCUUAGGGGCGAGUAGAACAGCCAUGAGGCGUUUCAUCGACAGUCCUGUGGCUUCUGCAACUUCUUCGUUCUUUGGUUGCUGACCUGUUUCACUGUACAGUUGCUUUCUUGCCUCUUUCACUCUGUAUGUUGCUUCCACCAUGUGAAACUGCCCAAAUCAUUGUAUGAUCAGGCAAGAACCAGACUUUUGUUUAAACAUUUGGGGGAUGAGACUACUUACAGGCAGUCUUAUCAUUCUGGACUGAUCAGAGAGAGACUUCCUCACUGCUUGCUUGAUCCACCAAUGCGCAUAAGUUGAAAAUUUAAAACCCUUUGUAGCAUCGAACUUCUCUGCUCCCCUCACAAGCCCUCUGCAUCCUUCCUGUGAUGCAUUUUCUAUAUUUAUCACUUCUCUCAAUACUGAUGUAGUUAACUACAAAAGAUAAGGAUCUAAGAACUCGAACCUGGACAAGAUCUUGGAGGUUCAUCCCAGCUCCUUGAUAGUUCUUGGCAAUCGAAAUGACUAGACGAAUGUUGCUUUUAAUCAUUCUGUCCUUGCACUGUGUGCCGUGAUUUAUACGUUUUCUUAAAGUCUUUUGAUCAACUCCAGCAGCAGAAGCCCAUUGUCCAAAGGUUGGCUGAUGGCCGCAACGCUCAGUCAGCUCUACUUGAAGCCUUUCCAGCUUCAGAAGGUCCUAAAUCACAAACCCCACAAAGUUUAUGAUCAAGAAACCACAAUAAAAAAGAUACCAAACAAGAAUGUCAAGGUAGUUUAUUUUUCAUAUAAAUUCAAAUGUAUAAUUUGGAUUACACCAUCUACCAUUAGUUUCAUCACUCUCUAAGAUUUUUAAAAGAUUUUCCAAACAUUGUUUUUCCCUAGAAUCUAGAACCUUAAGAAGAUUAGGAAGUGGCUAGUUUAUAGUUUGGAAGAUCAGAGACAAACCUGUAUUCCUUCAGAGAGUUCUGUUUCUUCUCUGGCGGUGAGAAGCUUUGAACUGCUAGUUGUCAUCCUUAGAUAACGCAAAGGAUCAUUAUGGUCAAUCUCCUGUGAAGCAACACGUUUCUUUCUAGUGCUGGAACUAGUCUUCACAGAAGACUGCAUACAUGAUGCAGUUUUCUCUAGCCCUUUUGCCCUCCUAGCUUUCCUUUCGGUUUGGCGUGUAGAUCUCACAGCUGAACUCACUGAAACCUCCUCCACAUCAACUUCUUCCUUUUCUGAUUCUAAAUCAUGAGAAGACUCUUUGUUAUUACAUUCAGGUGCAGCAGGUGGUGAUAUGAUUCUAUCACUCACAACUCCACUGUCUGAAACCGCUAGAUGUCCCAAUAUGCCAGCACGUUCCUUCUCCGUAAACUGAUCCCACUUGGACCGUUUCUCCCCAGCCAUUGAUGAAACUAAUAGUUUCGUGUUGUAACUGUUUCUAAACAACGUGGCAUCUUUCGCAACUUUGACAGCGGCUUUAGCAAGAGCCACUGCUUCAGCUGCUGCUGCUGCAACUACUGCUUCAUCGCUUGUGAGAAGUGUUUCAGCUUCUAAAUACUUCGCCUAGAAAUACAAUGAAGUUGUCAAUAAUCUUGCUGAACCAUUUGGCAAACAUAAUUAAAUAUAAUGACCUCAGUGGAAGGACCAAUGGUUCCUGUAUAAGUCCAUUGCCUGUCUGAUACUCUUGGAUUUGAAUCAGUAUCAAAAGAAGGUAGGAAAUCAUAUUGAAACAGUUAUCCUUUUAAGCAAAAAAAUAAUCCAUUUUCUUACAAAUGUUAUAAAAAAAACUUGUGAGAAUCGAACCAAACCGAAGAGGACCAACAUUCCAGUAUCUAAUUUAAACCGCCUAAACAAAUUGUAAGCCGGUUCCACAAUAAGAAAGACAUAGAAAAAAAGCCCAAGUAAAGUGGGUAACAAACACGAAAAGCCCAAUUUCACAAUAAUAAAGCAUUAAAUCAUACACGUAAUUACAGUGUAGUCCCUCUAUUAUUUUUCCGUUUCGAAAUCUUCACAAAUAAAGUUCUCUUAAUUAAAAAAAAGGAAAGAUAGCCGUUGGAGAAGAAGAAGAAGAAGACGAAGACACUAACGGCUAUUUUUCCAUCUGAGCUUCUUAUAGAAGCUUCAUCUCUCUUCUCCCAAACUCUCACAAUCCUUGAGCAGAGAAUCUCAGAUCUAAGAUGAACGAUCUAAUGACGAAGUCGUUCACGAGCUACGUCGACCUAAAGAAAGCAGCGAUGAAGGAUCUAGAAUCAGGCCCCGACCCGGCUGAUCUCGAGAUGACGAACAAAACCGACGAGAACCUCUCCUCCUUCCUCGAAGAAGCCGAGAAAGUCAAAUCAGAGAUGUCCUUGAUCGAGGCCGCGCUCUCCCGGAUCUCGCGGUACAACGACGAGAGCAAAUCCGCGCACAGAUCCGAAUCCGUGAAGUCUCUCCGCAACAAGAUCUCCAACGAGAUCGUCUCCGGUUUACGCAAAGCCAAAUCGAUUAAAUCGAACCUCGAGGAGAUGGAUAGAGCGAACCGGGAGAUUAAACGGUUAUCCGGAACAACUCCGGUUUACAGAAGCAGAGUGACUGUAACCAACGGUUUAAGAAAAAAAUUAAAAGAAGUGAUGAUGGAGUUUCAAGGACUAAGGCAGAGGAUGAUGAGUGAGUAUAAAGAGACCGUUGAGAGACGGUACUUCACUGUCACCGGAGAGAGACCUGACGAGGAGAUGAUUGAGAAGAUCGUUACUGAUGGAGGGGAAGAGUUUCUAACUCGAGCCAUUCAGGAGCAUGGGAGAGGGAAGGUGUUGGAGACGGUUGUUGAGAUUCAGGACAGGUACGACGCGGCGAAAGAGAUUGAGAAGAGU